This 355-nucleotide ribosomal RNA is filed under the name uncultured Desulfovibrio sp. RNAcentral's name for it is "bacterial SSU rRNA". It matches the Rfam family "Bacterial small subunit ribosomal RNA", at positions 1024 to 1382 of the family's 1533-position model. Lineage: Bacteria; Pseudomonadati; Thermodesulfobacteriota; Desulfovibrionia; Desulfovibrionales; Desulfovibrionaceae. The record is from RNAcentral.
AAGUUCCGAGACAGGUGCUGCAUGGCUGUCGUCAGCUCGUGCCGUGAGGUGUGGGUUAAGUCCGCAACGAGCGCAACCCUAUUGCCAGUUGCUACCAGGUAAUGCUGGGCACUCUGGUGAGACUGCCCGGUUAACGGGGAGGAAGGUGGGGACGACGUCAAGUCAUCAUGGCCCUUACGCCUAGGGCUACACACGUACUACAAUGGCGCAUACAAAGGGCAGCGAUACCGCGAGGUGGAGCCAAUCCCAAAAAGUGCGUCCCAGUCCGGAUUGCAGUCUGCAACUCGACUGCAUGAAGUUGGAAUCGCUAGUAAUUCGAGAUCAGCAUGCUCGGGUGAAUGCGUUCCCGGGCCUU